AAAGCCAGAAAAAAUAAAAUACUAAAAAAGAACAGAAAAACCAAACACAACGAAUCUUUCAUUCGAUUUUGUUUUUCGAGCCUUUAGAUCUCAAAGCAACAUAGAAACCAAUCCUAUUCAACUAAAAUCCCACAGAGCGGCCCCCCCCCCUCUCUCCCUCUCUCUCUACAUUUCACUGGCGAAUUCCUACCUUUUCUACCUGUCUCAACAGCUAUACACACGUAUGAUCUGCAUCCGUGUCGAUGGUUGAUCGGAGUGGUGUUGCUAUGUGGUAUAUUUCAUUGGUUGAUUAACGAGGGACUACAAUUUUGAUGCGUUAUUUGGUUUAGUUUAGAGUCACAGUUGAAAAUUAGGGUAACUGGGUUAGUAGUCAAGUCUGAUCUGUAUUAAUGGUUUCAUAAUGAGUGUGCAGUAGCCAGUAUGUGAUUCAUUGAUGAUGUGAUUAGAAGAUAUAUCAGAACAUUUAAUGGUUGCUUAAAGGGUGGUUGGCAUCAGUUUUAGCCGGUACUUGAUCCGUAGUUAGGCAUCUGAUCUGAAUUAUGUGUUCUUGAUAUGCAUUCUGAUGAUUUCGUGAUGAAUGAGCAUUAUGUGAUUCAAAGAUGUCAGUGAAUUUUGUGGUUGCUUAAAGGGUGGUUGGCAACCUUUUCUUUAGAUCUUUUCUUCGAUGCCCAGUUAUUCAGGAAUACCGAAAAGAGAGGGGGUUUUGGUUUGUGGUUGAGAUCAGGCCCGCUAUGCAGAGCGAAUUUGGUGGUAGGCAAAACCAUUCAUAGUUUGCAGAAGCUGAACUAUCAUGACUUUGUGAACAAAUUAACUAACUUGGGUCCAAUGCUUGUAGAAGUUGCUUGAAAAGGUUAUAACUGAUAUUGGGGCCUUUAAGUCAUGACCGGUUAUAGUUGCCGUAUUUUUUCAAGAUUUUGGUAGAGCAACAGAUUUUUGUAGUGGGUUUGUUAGGUCGCCAAUUUCGGACAUGAGAAGUCCCUGGUUGAGUAAACUAUCCCUUAUAUUCAGCCCUAGACCGCCACGCAACUGGUUACUCUUGUGUCUGAUUGGCGUAAUUGUGGUAGUUGCAUUGUUGGGUUCUUCUUCUUCGAGUGCCUUUGAUUCAGUAUCUCCCACUCCAAGGCCUGACAUCUAUACGAAUUACAGAAGAAUAAAGGAACAAGCAGCAAGUGAUUACUUGGAGUUGAGGUCUUUAUCGUCAGAAGCUACUAGUACAAGGGAGUUUAGUUUUUGUGGCAAAGACACAGAGAAUUAUGUGCCUUGCUAUAAUGUAUCUGGAAAUUUGUUAGUUGGGUUGAAGGAUGGAGAGGAGUUUGAUAGGCAUUGUGAAGUAUUGCAAGAACAACUGCAUUGCUUGGUUCGUCCUCCUAAGGACUAUAAGAUCCCUCUCAAAUGGCCUGCUGGUAAAGAUGUGAUAUGGAGUGGAAAUGUGAAGAUUAGCAAAGACCAAUUCCUCUCUUCUGGAAGCAUGACCAAAAGAUUAAUGCUACUAGAAGAGAAUCAGAUUUCUUUCCACUCCGAGGAUGGUUUGAUAUAUGAUGGUGUCAAAGAUUACUCUCACCAAAUAGCAGAGAUGAUAGGGUUGGGAAGUGACGCUGAAUUUUAUCAAGCUGGUGUGCGCACUGUAUUAGAUAUUGGGUGCGGGUUUGGAAGCUUUGGGGCUCAUUUGCUAUCAUUGAAGUUAAUGGUUGUUUGUAUUGCGGCAUAUGAGGUAACAGGUAGCCAAGUUCAGUUGGCCCUUGAGAGAGGUCUUCCUGCAAUCAUUGGCAACUUCAUUUCAAGACAGCUUCCAUAUCCAUCGUUAUCAUUUAGCAUGGUUCACUGUGCUCAAUGUGGUAUUUUCUGGGAGAAGAAAGACGGGAUGCUCCUCAUCGAAGUUGACCGGGUACUCAAGCCUGGAGGUUACUUUGUUUUAACCUCACCAGCAACUGAGCCACAUGGAAAUUCAUUGAGAACAAAAAGGAAAAGCAUGUUGAAACCAAUUGAAGAACUCACAGAAAAACUCUGUUGGAGUCUUUUGGCUCAACAAGAUGAUUCUUUUAUCUGGCAAAAAACUGUGGAUGCUUAUUGCUAUACAUCUGGCAAGAAGAGUAAUAGACCUCUUUGUAAAGAAGGCCAGGAUGCUCAAUCAUAUUAUCAAACCCUGGUACCUUGUAUUAGUGGGACCACCAGUAAACGCUGGACUCCAGUUCAGAACAGGUCUUCUGGUUUCCUUUUGAGUCCAGCUGAGCUUGAAGUUCAUGGAGUUCAACCUAAUGAUUUCUAUGAAGACUUUGAAAAUUGGAAAUCAGUAGUGAGAAACUAUUGGUCUUUGCUUACACCCUUGAUUUUUUCUGACCAUCCAAAGAGGCCAGGAGAUGAAGACCCGUUACCUCCAUAUAACAUGAUACGCAACGUGAUGGACAUGAAUGCUCAUUACGGGGGUUUGAAUGCUGCAUUUCUCGAAGGCAAACAAUCAGUUUGGGUGAUGAAUGUUGUGCCCCUUGGGGUGCGUAAUACGCUUCCUCUGAUACUUGAUCAAGGUUUUGCAGGUGUUUUGCAUAAUUGGUGCGAUCCUUUCCCCACGUAUCCCCGAACAUAUGACAUGCUUCAUGCGAAUGGGCUCCUCUCACACCUUAUAUCCGAAGGAUGCAGUAUAAUGAACUUGUUCUUGGAGAUGGAUCGUAUUCUACGCCCGGAGGGAUGGGUUAUAGUUGGUGAUAAACUUGGGCCUAUAGAGAAAGCACGUUCACUCGCCACACAGAUCCGAUGGGAAGCAAGGGUAAUUGACCUUCAGAAUGGCAGUGACCAGCGGUUACUUGUUUGUCAAAAGCCAUUUUUAAGAAAAUGAUUGGUUCAGCUGUUGGUGGUCUCAUGCUUGGACUCUCCGGUUUUUAACAUCUGGAUGCCGGUUGUUUUAGUAUCCGUGUCGAUAUGAUAACAAUCUGUGAUUGACGAUGCUAGAAGAAAACUCAGCUUGAUUUUUAUCUAGGAGUUUUGGCGAAGAUCCUUGGUAUUGAAAGAAGCCAUUUUGAAAGUGCAGAGUUGAAGGUUAAAGUUGGACGAUGUAACCAUUCAUUUGUUACCAUUGUUUCAAUGUCUUGUUCCUCUUUUUAUCUUAUUUUUUUCUGUGUUUUUAUAUCUAUUUGUCAAUUUUGUAAUUAAUUGUGAUUUUGUACCGUACAACCUCUACUAUUGGAGAGGGGUGAUGGCCAUGAAUUGUAAGAUGUUUGCCGUAUAAUGCGAUAAUUCUCUCGUCCUUAUUUGGCCCAA
Rhododendron vialii is the source of this 3252-nucleotide RNA transcript. It is a transcript of the gene named probable methyltransferase PMT5, with no coding region annotated. Lineage: Eukaryota; Viridiplantae; Streptophyta; Magnoliopsida; Ericales; Ericaceae. The transcript is spliced from 10 exons. The record is from RefSeq and is a predicted model, not a curated record.